AUCCCACAGAGCAGCAAAUGUUUCUUUAACUCUACUGUACAAACACGUUGAAAGCAUUUUUGCACCAAGUGUCAUUUUUAAACCACAUGCUGGGUGAGUUAGAGGGGGUGGGGGGCAUUCCUGACUAAUUGCAUGUGCCCUACAUCCUGCUCUGCUCCUUUCCCAGCAUGCACGAGUGUGUAAAUGAAUUUGCUUCAUGGUGUAGAAUAGUUUGGAAAAUUGCCACCAUGACAUGCAUAUGAAGGGGACCCUGCAGCAAAGGGUCAGGGCAGGGGUCACAUAUUGUGUUACAUAAAUCCAAAGUCAGGGUCAUAACACCAGCUGUGUGUCCAGUUAUUAUACAUGCAUAAAAGUUUUUUUUCACUAUUUUUCUAUAGACAGAAAAAGCAGCUCAGUAUUGAUUCCAUCUUUACCAACGUUAUGAGAGUGUUGUUUUUUAGCCUGCAGGAAAGAAAAUCCUUCAGAGAUGAAACACAGUAAAGGAUCUGAAACUCUUCCAGCAGCAGUGUGUUUGAACAGAUCUGACUCUAACGCACGUAGAAGUCACACAAAAAGGUAAAUGUGAGUAGAAAUAUUGCAAAAUAUAAAUAGUUGCCCUGUGUCAUCAUGACAUUUCCAGAUUCUCAUUUCAUUCACGUAUACUGAGGAUUGAGCAAACAUCAAGACUUCAAGGUUUACAUAUAAACAAUUCAUUAAAAUGGACAAAAGUGUAAAUUUUUUCUGAAAAUUUCUGCACUGAGUCUCUUAUCAGGAAGCUAUACAGCACUCUACAGCUGUUAUCCAACACACUAACAGCUAGGACAUUUAUUUGCUGCUUAAAGGAGACAUAUAUGACAUAUUUCCUAAGGUAUGAAAGUUCUACGGUCCAUAAAAAGCACAAUUUCAUGAAAUUCUUUCCACUAAAUCCCUCUCACAUAAAGCUAAUUCCGCAUUUUUAUUCCUGACAUUUUCAGUACCUUCCAGAAUGAGCUGUUCCCAGGUUCUGUCACUUUAAGAAAACAAGCUGGAGCUGGCCACGCCUCCCUCUACCCCAUUUAGUUUGCUAUAAAGCUCCGGGAGUUGACAUCACUUCUCCCGGAAUGCAACUGUUCAAAUCGAAGCGGCGCCAUCUUGGCAGGCAGAAGUCCGCAGCUGGGCUAUUAUUUAUUGUCAGAAAACUCAAACGGGAAAUAUGGUAGAUUCCUGUUGUGCCCCAGGAUGCCAGAACAGAUAGGGACGACAUAAGAGUGAGCCAUCUACAGGAUUCCCCAAGAUCCGGAACGCCGCAAACGUUGGAUCAUUGUAAUGAAACGCGCUAGUGGCCGGGCUAAAAUGAAACUGUGGGAUCCCGAGAGUAAAGGUUUUCGCUUAUGCAGCGACCGCUUCAUAUCAGGUACUUAAACCAACAUUUCCUCAACUGUGUAUGGUAUUUAUUUUAAAUGCUUUUAUUCUGGGACGUAAUUUUGGGGGGGGACGGGUGGGACAUGUCCCCCCCCCACUUUUUCAAAAGGCAGUUUUGGUCCCCUGCACUUUUUUCCAUCCCAAAACAAUAUUCCGCUCCAUUAAAUGGAUUUAGUUGAGCACUAGGACCGAAACGGAAACCGGUUUCCUAUUAGACCCGCCCAAAAGCUAAUCUAUUGGCUCUGUUGAUACUUGCUAACGUAUUAUUGGCUGUUGCUGCUGUCACUCCAAGUUGUAAACAGUCAGAACGUGCUCACGUUGUUUUGCUAGUUUGGAGCCGCUAGGGAACACCGGUACUGAGUCACAUCGUCAACUAGACGCUGUGUAAUAUCAGAGCUCAGCUCAGCUUCCAUUACAUAACAUUUGAACAACUGUUCGGCAGCAUGUCAAGAAAACGAAAAGUGGAUAUAAGAGACUUCUUUCAAAGUCAAAACGUGACCGACAGAGAUGCAGGAGGAGAGACCGGUGAAGGUACAGCAGGGGAGGCUGUAGGAGAUGGAGGACGAGAGCCUGGAGGAGAUGCAGCAGAGGCUGGAGGCUCACAGGUGAGGUUGAAAUAAUGAAGAUACGAUAGACAUAAAAUUGAUCAUUGUGACAAAUGUUAGGGUGAUGAUCAUGUGUAAAACAUUAGUUCAGCAUGUCCUCUAACACAGCAAAUGAACAAACGGACAGAUCUCAGGAGGGACCGUUUAUGUAUAAAUAAUUUUUAUACUUUUGACUAUAGGCCUGGGAAAGUAACAAAUUUUGCUGGACGAUAUAUUGUCCAACAAAUUGUUGAUGAUAAACGAUAUCAUUGUCAACUAGGGCUAGGCGAUAUGGCAAAAAUAGAAUAUCACGAUUUUUCGAAUAUUUUAUCACGAUUUCGAUUUUAUCACGAUUUUUUAUCCAUGAAUAGCACAACUUCAAUUGCGUAUUAAAGAAGAGAAACAUUGAAUAAAUAAACAUUUAUUCAUAUUAGGGAUAAUCAGCACAGUGCUAACACACUUAUAUUUUAAACUCACACCAGAGAUGAUAAAAGCCCUGAGAGAAACAAUUACAAAAAUCAGUUUUUCUCGUUUUUCAAGUAACUUAACAUAAAUUCAAAUCGUAAACAUAUUUAAAGUGCAAACAUGUCAAUUGCAAACGUAUUGUGCAAACAUUAACUUGUUCAAAAUACUAUGUAGCUCCCAGUUGCUCAUGUAGUGGAUAGUUAA
Molecule: non-coding RNA, 2633 nt
Organism: Nothobranchius furzeri (turquoise killifish)
Lineage: Eukaryota; Metazoa; Chordata; Actinopteri; Cyprinodontiformes; Nothobranchiidae
Source: RefSeq, a predicted model, not a curated record